RNAcentral lists this ribosomal RNA (233 nucleotides) under uncultured bacterium. RNAcentral describes it as "partial 16S ribosomal RNA". It matches the Rfam family "Bacterial small subunit ribosomal RNA", at positions 544 to 776 of the family's 1533-position model. The record is from RNAcentral.
UUCGGAAUUACUGGGCGUAAAGGGCUCGUAGGUGGCCAACUAAGUCAGACGUGAAAUCCCUCAGCUUAACUGGGGAACUGCGUCUGAUACUGGAUGGCUUGAGUUUGGGAGAGGGAUGCGGAAUUCCAGGUGUAGCGGUGAAAUGCGUAGAUAUCUGGAGGAACACCGGUGGCGAAGGCGGCAUCCUGGACCAAUACUGACACUGAGGAGCGAAAGCCAGGGGAGCAAACGGG